This 75-nucleotide transfer RNA is filed under the name Aeromonas phage 31. RNAcentral describes it as "Aeromonas virus 31 tRNA-Ile". It matches the Rfam family "tRNA". Rfam says of the family: Transfer RNA (tRNA) molecules are approximately 80 nucleotides in length. Their secondary structure includes four short double-helical elements and three loops (D, anti-codon, and T loops). RNAcentral also lists the same sequence under 3 other names. Lineage: Duplodnaviria; Heunggongvirae; Uroviricota; Caudoviricetes; Pantevenvirales; Straboviridae. The record is from RNAcentral.
GGCCCUGUAGCUAGACGGUUCAAGCAGGCGGCUCAUAACCGCUCGUAGCAGGUUCGAUUCCUGCCAGGGCCACCA